Ochotona curzoniae (black-lipped pika) is the source of this 605-nucleotide long non-coding RNA. RefSeq lists it as uncharacterized. Lineage: Eukaryota; Metazoa; Chordata; Mammalia; Lagomorpha; Ochotonidae. The record is from RefSeq and is a predicted model, not a curated record. The transcript has 2 exons.
CACAGCUCUGCUCUUUCAUAGGAUGGCUUGAGGCACAGGGCUAAGCACCUGAUGGAGACUCCGUGCAUUAGCAGGUAACUGUGCUCUGUGGGAAUACAAAUCACCCGUGAACCCAGCCUCUCUACACUUGAUGGUAACCACAGAGCUCUGCUAGACACGCAGCAUUAGCAGGUGAGCCUGGGUCGUGAGCCUAUGAAGACAGCUGUUUUACAUGCAUUGAGAAGGAGGCAUGAAAGGCGCCUACAAGCAUGCUAGCUUAUUUCUUUUUCCAAAUGCCCUCAGCUGCCCUAAUGACACACUCUGUGUGUGUGUGUGUGUAGGCAGACAGAGCAGUAAGGAGAAGAGAGAGGUGGGAGAGAAAAAAGAGAGGGGGAAAGCAUUGGAGGAAGUGGGGGUGGGGGAGACAGGGAGCUGGUCACCUUUUGUUUCAAGGUGGGCUGUUACAUACAGCCAAGAAUGCCUAGCCUGCUAAAAUUCCAUCUGAUGCCUGGCAACACCCGAGAUGGCAUGGCAGAGGAUAUGAAAACACAAAACAAAGGAAACCUUUACCCAUGCCGUGCUUAAAGAGAACAAGCCUGGCAAUAAACACUUGAGCAUUUGGAGAA